Molecule: transfer-messenger RNA, 321 nt
Filed under: Fidelibacterota bacterium
Lineage: Bacteria; Pseudomonadati; Fidelibacterota
Rfam family: transfer-messenger RNA
About the family: Bacterial tmRNA, also known as 10Sa RNA or SsrA, is named for its dual tRNA and mRNA-like properties. Its role is to liberate the mRNA from a stalled ribosome.
Source: RNAcentral
GGGGGCGAUCGGUUUCGACGGGAUAUGCGUCGUGGUAAAUGGCAUAUCGACCAUAAAUGCCGAUUACGGCUACAUGGCCGCUGCUUAAUUAAGCUGGCCCGUCCUGGAUUUGGUGCGCCUAUGGCCGGAUUCAAGGACGUCAAUUUCAUAGGCUGGUUCUGAUUGUUGUCUGUGAUAUCAGAAUAAGACAUUAACAGACUUUGCUCAUAAUGGCUGUGUCAACGGAGCAGUUAUGGGUAAGCCUAAUCCGCUUGACUAAAUAUGUAGAUGUUUAUUGUGAUUCUAUUUCGGACGGGAGUUCGAUUCUCCCCGCCUCCACUU